Culex quinquefasciatus (southern house mosquito) is the source of this 826-nucleotide long non-coding RNA. RefSeq lists it as uncharacterized. NCBI's taxonomy places the organism in Eukaryota, Metazoa, Arthropoda, Insecta, Diptera, Culicidae. The record is from RefSeq and is a predicted model, not a curated record. The transcript has 4 exons.
AAAACUCUUGACCCAAUCUGCGACCACUAUCAGUGGUUGGUUAAUUAUCAAGCAGGCGAUACCGUACGAGCGUAAAAACAAAAGUGUUCAACACCAAAGUGCUACAGAAGUAAUUUUGUGAAAUUUCAUCAUUAAUUGCGCCUGACCAACGACGCAGCACAAAGGCUGAUUUCUGGGAUCUAGUGACGCGUUAACCCAAGAAGCGCAGUUGCGAGCAGAGCGAGGUCAAGUGAGGCUAGGCUGCGGCCGGAGCCGUACACCACACAGCCCGUCUACGUCUACAAAAUGGCUGGGCCGCGUGUGAGGAUGCUGUAAACCCUGAUCGGGUAAAGAGAUCGGCCCUUCUUCUUUCUUCUUGUAUUAUUCCCACCAUACAAUGGUCCUGCACAAACAAACUUCUGAUGGACGUCGCCGGAACGGAUGUCCGCCGAACUGGAGACGCCGGUUGGCACGCGAGCGCCCUCGAGGCCGAUCGAAGGCCGGGCUGACGCGGUUGCCAGGCUGCCGUGGACGCUGGGAUGCCGAGGAUUCCCGGCUGCCGUUGAAGCUGGGUUGCCAUGGGUGCCGGAAGUGGCACAAAGGCGGCGCACACCUUCGUGGGAUACACUUUCACACUACUCUGACACUCACACACCUUAGAUUUAACCAUGAAUCCUUAGAUUUAGUUUUGGCCGGCGCAUUCGCCUUCUUUUUUUGGCCGGUUUUUGGCAUAUUGCCCCAUUUUCACGAUGAUCAUCCAAAAAGUUGAAUAUAUUUGAUUACAAAAGCGCUGAAUUUUUCCUAUUUCUUAAAUAAAAUUGCCGCAAGGCGGCGUGAUGAGUUCUAA